GCGGGAGUGGCGGAAUUUGGUAGACGCGCUGGAUUUAGGAUCCAGUGGUGAAAGCCGUGUGGGUUCGAGUCCCACCUCUCGCA
RNAcentral lists this transfer RNA (83 nucleotides) under Gemmatimonadaceae bacterium. RNAcentral describes it as "tRNA-Leu". It matches the Rfam family "tRNA". Rfam says of the family: Transfer RNA (tRNA) molecules are approximately 80 nucleotides in length. Their secondary structure includes four short double-helical elements and three loops (D, anti-codon, and T loops). Lineage: Bacteria; Pseudomonadati; Gemmatimonadota; Gemmatimonadia; Gemmatimonadales; Gemmatimonadaceae. The record is from RNAcentral. RNAcentral also lists the same sequence under 1 other name.